CAACAAUUAAAUAUCAUUAGGGUUCUUGAAUAAUAGGAAUUUCAAGCUAUUCGAAGGUAUAAUUUAUGACAAGUUAAGGAGGACAACCUUUACCUUGAAGAAUUCAAGUCUUAGCAAGUGAUAGUUAUGUCCAGCAAGGUAAGCUACUGCAAUUUUCUCCCUCUUGUGCUUGACUUAAUUAGCACUUGUUAUGUGUUAGUGAGUUGGAAAUUUCUACUUUUACAUGGUGAAUUGUGGGGAGGAUGUUCUGGUGAUUAGUGCAUGUUGGGACAGUUAUGGUGGGGAGUCCUCUUUAAGCUAAGCUAGGAGCUUGUUUGAGCACUUUAAAAGUAAUAUUAGCUCUUCAAGUGCUGGUGAUCAGAAACCAUGAUUCAUAUUGCUUCUAUUACAUUAUUAUGUUCAAAUAUUAUUUUAUGUAUGUUAUGAUAAGGGAUAUGACUGGAUGUGCGGGGAAGUUAUAGGAGACGUUAAAGGUCUUAAAUAUUGCAUGGAGUUUUAGGGAGGACCUGAUACGAAGAUUUAUAGUAUAUAGACGCGAUUAAAGGGAUAGGGAAGGAAAGAAAACACUGGCUAGACAGAUUGCAUCUUGCUUCGUUACUAUUUAGGUGUGAUCAAGCAGCUCAAAUUGAUUUAUUACCUACUAAUACCAACUUAUUUUACUGUAGAUUAGUGAUCUGAAGAGAAGGAGCUUAAGUCAUACAUUUUGAAUUGUAUAGAAAUGUAUGUAUGGCUAUUUGAUUUCCUAUUUCUUUGCAUAAAUCCAAAACAUGCAUUACAAAAAGUAAGCUUUCUAAGUGCCCUUGGCAGUGUUUGAUCCAUAGUUGCAGUUCCUACUCCCAAGAGCAUUGAAGUGCGUACUCUAAUAUGAGUUUGUUACUAAAUGUGUGUGUUUACUCUACCAAGUGUUAGCAUGCUUGUUUAUACUCGUUUUAUCGUAAAAGUACCCCUAGCACGUAUUUCCAUUAUAUAAGUCAAAGUGAUCCUAGAUUACACAUGGUACAUAUGUUUAUAGCAUGGAUAUACGAUAUGCCCAUAUCUUGCCAACUUGCUUUAAUUGUUUAUAGAUAUGUCAUCUUGUCACUCGUUUAUAUGUUCCCUUUCUUGUUAUCACUCCCAUUGUGUAAGACAAUAAUGUUACCUCACAUGAUCUCUACUUGCUCAAUUAUACGUUUAUAUGUACUUACUUGGAAUAUGUAUCUGUCCUUAAGUUGAAUUUGCCCUAUUUCCCCCUUGGUUCCACAUGCAUGAACAUCUUGUUUUUGUAUCAUAUAGAGUUCAAAUCUCUUGGCUGAAUGUUCAAUUUUCUUCACUGGAUGUGCUUCAAUUUGUGAUGUUAAAAUGCUUACCGAGUCAUAUAAGCUCCUAAGUACUACGUUCAAAUCACAUUUGCUUCCCAUGUCAUUGUUAUUAACGUAUGUUCAUAUUCAUAUGUCUUCUACUACUGGUUCGCAAUAAAUUUAAAUAAGGAUUGUGACCACCAAAACAAUAAUCAAAAUAAAAUUUUGAACAUCAAAAAGAAAAAUUUCAAAAGAGUUAUUAUUUAUUAAAGAACAAUCCCAAAGGAGUUAUGAACUGAUAAAUAACAAUCUCAAAAAUGAAAGAAUCUAAGUGAAGUAAUCUAUAUGUGAUUAUGUGUGGCAGCUCAGGGGCAAAAUCCUAGGAUGGGACGAUCCCGAUUGGUAUGGAAGGGUGACAACUUAGGGGCGAAAUCCCAUCAUGUGUCGAUCCCGAUUGGUAUGGAAGGGUGGCAGCUCAAGGGCGAAAGCCUAGAAUGGGCCGAUCCCAAUUUGUAGAAUUAUGAGGACAGCAUCCCAGGGGUCAUUUGUAUCAUAUGUUGUAUAAAGUUUAUAAAGAACAGAAAAGUAAAGAAAAGAAUGUAACAUGCACGAUUCCACAAGUACAAAUCAAAGGUUGUCUCUAAUCCUUAUCUACUGGUAUUUGGUUUCACUUGAGCUCUCAUGUUACAUAUGGUUGUAUUAUUCCUUGCAUAUUCAGUACAUUCUUUCGUACUGACGUCCCUUAUUGGGGACACUGCAUUUCAUGUUGCAGGUACAAGUACUGAACUAGUAGAUUUUCCCAAUAGAAGCACAUUAUACUCAGCGGAUGUUGGUGAGAUCCAGGUUGAUUCGGGGCUUUGCCGAGUCUUUACUAUGCGUAUUUUCAUAGUGGUACCAUCAUGGAUUCAAGUAGAGGCUUUGUAGACAUUAUUAAGUUAUCAUCUGUAUUCAUAGUUUCACUUGUCACAUAUAGCAGUUCAGCUAGUCAAAAGGUGUUGUAUAUGAAGUUUCAUCAGUAAUUUGCAUAGUAGUUUACUUUCC
This 2318-nucleotide long non-coding RNA is filed under the name Solanum lycopersicum (tomato). Its description in RNAcentral is "long non-coding RNA (SLYC_LNC000396)". Lineage: Eukaryota; Viridiplantae; Streptophyta; Magnoliopsida; Solanales; Solanaceae. The record is from RNAcentral.